GGCGCCGGAGAUGGCGGCCUGGCGCAGGGCGGCGGUGGGGGAAGGAGAGAGGAGAAAGGGGCGGCAUCGGUGGGGAGGAGGAGGCUGGGGCGGUGCGGCGGCGCUCGGCGCUUGGCUCGGUGGCACGGAAGCCGGCGGUGGAGCAUGGGGGAGGGAAAGGUGGCCGGCUGCGACGGAGGCCGUCGGGGCGAAGGAGGUUGCGGCCGGCGUCGGCGACCUGGUGGCGGCGCCCAACACGGCGCGGCGGUGCCCCAGCGCCGAUGAAGACGACGAUGCGUGCCGUUGUUGUCCAUCUGGAGUGCCGCAUCAGGUAGGCCUCAACGUGCACUUGCAGUCUGCAGUUGGUGACUGGAGGACA
Molecule: long non-coding RNA, 358 nt
Filed under: Oryza sativa tropical japonica subgroup
Lineage: Eukaryota; Viridiplantae; Streptophyta; Magnoliopsida; Poales; Poaceae
Description: lncRNA OsCMeo_04g0007470
Source: RNAcentral